This is a long non-coding RNA of Centrocercus urophasianus (Greater sage-grouse), 335 nucleotides long. RefSeq lists it as uncharacterized. The transcript has 3 exons. The record is from RefSeq and is a predicted model, not a curated record. Lineage: Eukaryota; Metazoa; Chordata; Aves; Galliformes; Phasianidae.
GCAGGUGAGCAGCAUGAAUCUGCCACUCCACAUUUACUGACAUAAACCAAGAAAAACAAACAGGUCUUUUGGGCAUGGGCUUGAGACCCCAGGCACCUGAUGUGUUGAGACUAUCACCUGCCCACGCUGAGAUCUGACCUCCGUUUGGUGCCAUGGUUUGGCUGAGCCCCGGGCACUGCGCUAUAAUAAGGACAGAAGCUGAUGUACUGUAAGACCGAAGUGCUUACCAGUAUUACGGCCCUUUCUUUUUUUAGGCAAGCAGUUUCCAAUGAAAUAAGAACCUAAACCAGCCUUCUCCUAUGCUUUCUUUGUCAAGAAUAAACCAUAUUAACGUA